GACGAACGCUGGCGGCGUGCUUAACACAUGCAAGUCGAACGGACAGGCCCUGCUUUUGUGGGGUGCUCGAGUGGCGAACGGGUGAGUAACACGUGAGUAACCUGCCCUUGACUUUGGGAUAUCUUCAGGAAACUGGGGCUAAUACCGGAUAGGAGCUCCUGCUGCAUGGUGGGGGUUGGAAAGUUUCGGCGGUUGGGGAUGGACUCGCGGCUUAUCAGCUUGUUGGUGGGGUAGUGGCUUACCAAGGCUUUGACGGGUAGCCGGCCUGAGAGGGUGACCGGCCACAGUGGGACUGAGAGACGGCCCAGAAUCCUACGGGAGGCAGCAGUGGGGAAUAUUACAGAAUAGGCGGAAGCCUGAUGCAGAAACGCCGCGAGCGUGAUAACCGCCUUCGGGUUGUAAACCGCUUUCGCCUGUGACGAAGCGUGAGUGACGGUAAUGGGUAAAGAAGCACCGGCUAACUACGUG
RNAcentral lists this ribosomal RNA (468 nucleotides) under uncultured bacterium. Its description in RNAcentral is "partial 16S ribosomal RNA". It matches the Rfam family "Bacterial small subunit ribosomal RNA", at positions 28 to 507 of the family's 1533-position model. The record is from RNAcentral.